Molecule: long non-coding RNA, 215 nt
Filed under: Setaria italica (foxtail millet)
Lineage: Eukaryota; Viridiplantae; Streptophyta; Magnoliopsida; Poales; Poaceae
Description: long non-coding RNA (SITA_LNC000708)
Source: RNAcentral
ACAAAGGAGAGAGACGAGCUGUUGGGCCUCGGCGAGCGCCCGUGCGGACGGAAUCCGGCGGCUUUUGCGCGAAAGGUUUGCCGAGUCGGGUAACGCGGCCCGCCGGGAGCGGGUCGGGGGCCGGUCGCUUUCGCUGGAUCGAUCCUGCGAAUCCGCCGCUUUUGUUCGUUCGGUGACGUUGGGUGAGCAGAUCCGUUGUCUACGCAUCGUUCCGG